Molecule: long non-coding RNA, 302 nt
Organism: Zea mays
Lineage: Eukaryota; Viridiplantae; Streptophyta; Magnoliopsida; Poales; Poaceae
Exons: 4
Source: RefSeq, a predicted model, not a curated record
UCCAGUAUCCACACCAACUGUUCCAACACCUGAUAAACAACAACAUGAUCAGGAAAGCCAUGUUCCUACUGAUCAUAUCAAAGUAUCAGAUGAUAUUGUCAGUGGGAACGUCUGCAAAAAAGCUGAAGUUAUGGAUGCCCCUAUUUUUGACAAGACUCCAACAUCUAAUGCUCCCACAACAGACAAGCCUGCUGCUCCUAAGUUAACACCAGAUAUAAAUAGUGAAGGACAAAAAUCUGUUACACAUGAUACUCCUGUAUCUGGUGCACCUCUGUUCGAUAAAACCCCACUGACAGAUGUAA